This 72-nucleotide transfer RNA is filed under the name bacterium. RNAcentral describes it as "tRNA-Asn". It matches the Rfam family "tRNA". Rfam says of the family: Transfer RNA (tRNA) molecules are approximately 80 nucleotides in length. The record is from RNAcentral.
UCCACGAUAGCUCAAUGGUAGAGCAGACGGCUGUUAACCGUCCGGUUCUAGGUUCGAAUCCUAGUCGUGGAG